Molecule: ribosomal RNA, 169 nt
Filed under: uncultured rumen bacterium
Lineage: Bacteria
Description: partial 16S ribosomal RNA
Rfam family: Bacterial small subunit ribosomal RNA
Source: RNAcentral
UACGGGAGGCAGCAGUGGGGAAUAUUGGGCAAUGGGCGAAAGCCUGACCCAGCAACGCCGCGUGAAGGAAGAAGGUUUUCGGAUUGUAAACUUCUGUCCUAUGUGAAGAGAAGGAGACGGUAGCAUAGGAGGAAGCCCCGGCUAACUACGUGCCAGCAGCCGCGGUAAU